GUCAGCAUAACACCAAAAUAGUUUGUUAAACUUGAGGAAUGUGUUCUGGUCUGUUAAUAUUCACCACACAGUUCACGACUUCUCUUUAGAUUUUAAUUUGGUAAUUGUCUCUCUCUGUUUUGAUUUCUGAGUACAAAAAUGAGCCAAACUAAUUUUUGGUAUCAUGUAGAAAAUGUGGUUUGUGUAUGGACUUCUCAUGUGGUCUUGAUGAGGAACCAAAGCAAUUUUUUCUUAUGUAUCACCCAACAGCAUUAAUACAGUACCAGAUAUACUCUAGAAGAUGUCUCUCUUGAAUAUAUAUUAAAAACAAUCAUAAGAUGAGCAUUUCUUACAGUCAUGGAGAAAUCAGUGGAAGAGGAAAUUAAUCUACAGCUUGAGAAAAUGAAAGAAAAGCAAGAAUCUGAAAGAAGGAGAAGGAUAGCUGAAGAGAAGCACAAGGAAUGGGUGCAAAAAAAAAGAGAAGAGGUAAAUAUUGCUUUAGUUGUAAAUAUUAUAGCACAUGCUAUGCUUUAGUAAACCUAUGUAAAA
RNAcentral lists this long non-coding RNA (528 nucleotides) under Apteryx owenii (little spotted kiwi). RNAcentral describes it as "lncRNA (ENSAOWG00000005766.1)". The record is from RNAcentral. Lineage: Eukaryota; Metazoa; Chordata; Aves; Apterygiformes; Apterygidae.